GCACUGAGUUAAUACAGUCUAUUUGGAAAGUGCAUCAGAAUGAAGUCACCUUUGUGGCAAGAUUCUGUCCUUUGUUUUUAUAUUUUUUAGAUAAUGUCUAAAGUACAAAAGGCAAAAAUAUCCCUUUCCUCCAGUUUGAAUCCAAGGGAUAAAAGGAGGAUACAGCAUAUAGGAGUCAGAACAAUCUACUUCAUAGUACAAUGGUCCUGCAUUGCAAAACAUGCCAACUCAGCUCAGAGUGUUCCAGUCUCAAAGCUGUAGGGUGAGUGAUCUCAUAACUUUUAUGGAAUGAAGGGGUUAGAAGUUCAUGGAGAAAGUUGAAUGAUGG
This 328-nucleotide long non-coding RNA is filed under the name Phascolarctos cinereus (koala). RNAcentral's name for it is "lncRNA (ENSPCIG00000033248.1)". Lineage: Eukaryota; Metazoa; Chordata; Mammalia; Diprotodontia; Phascolarctidae. The record is from RNAcentral.